AGGUUUGGAUAGGUAGCAAGCU
Molecule: microRNA, 22 nt
Filed under: Panagrellus redivivus
Lineage: Eukaryota; Metazoa; Nematoda; Chromadorea; Rhabditida; Panagrolaimidae
Description: prd-miR-7880c-5p
Source: miRBase by way of RNAcentral